UACGGAGGGUGCGAGCGUUGUUCGGAAUCACUGGGCGUAAAGCGCGUGUAGGCGGUCCGCUAAGUCUGAUGUGAAAGCCCGGGGCUCACCCCCGGAAGGGCAUUGGAUACUGGUGGACUUGAGUCCCGGAGAGGAGGGUGGAAUUCCUGGUGUAGCGGUGAAAUGCGUAGAUAUCAGGAGGAACACCGGUGGCGAAGGCGGCCCUCUGGACGGUGACUGACGCUGAGACGCGAAAGCGUGGGGAGCAAACAGG
RNAcentral lists this ribosomal RNA (253 nucleotides) under uncultured bacterium. RNAcentral describes it as "partial 16S ribosomal RNA". It matches the Rfam family "Bacterial small subunit ribosomal RNA", at positions 524 to 776 of the family's 1533-position model. The record is from RNAcentral.